UACGGGGGGGGCAAGCGUUGUUCGGAAUUACUGGGCGUAAAGGGCUUGUAGGUGGCCAACUAAGUCAGACGUGAAAUCCCACGGCUUAACCGAGGAACUGCGUCUGAUACUGGAUGGCUUGAGUGUGGGAGAGGGAUGCGGAAUUCCAGGUGUAGCGGUGAAAUGCGUAGAUAUCUGGAGGAACACCGGUGGCGAAGGCGGGUCUCUGGGCCGUUACUGACGCUGAGGAGCGAAAGCGUGGGGGGCGAACAGG
Molecule: ribosomal RNA, 253 nt
Filed under: uncultured bacterium
Lineage: Bacteria
Description: partial 16S ribosomal RNA
Rfam family: Bacterial small subunit ribosomal RNA
Source: RNAcentral